CAGCCGCCGCGGUAAUACCGGCGGCCCGAGUGGCGGUCACUAUUAUUGGGCUUAAAGCGUCCGUAGCCGGGUUGGGAAGUCCUCCGGGAAAUCUGGCCGCUUAACGGUCAGAAUGCCGGAGGAUACUCCCAGCCUAGGGAGCGGGAGAGGCCGAGGGGAUUCCCGGAGUAGGGGGGAAAUCCUAUAAUCCCGCGAGGACCACCUGUGGCGAAGGCGCUCGGCUGGAACGCGUCCGACGGUGAGGGACGAAGGCCAGGGGAGCAAACCGGAUUAGAUACCCGGGUAGUCCUGGCUGUAAACGAUGCGGACUUUGUGUCGGACAAGCUAUGAGCUUGUCCGGUGCCGGAGGGAAACCGUUAAGUCCGCCGCCUGGGGAGUACGGCCGCAAGGCUGAAACUUAAAGGAAUUGGCGGG
Molecule: ribosomal RNA, 414 nt
Filed under: uncultured microorganism
Description: bacterial SSU rRNA
Rfam family: Archaeal small subunit ribosomal RNA
Source: RNAcentral